GACGAACGCUGGCGGCGUGCCUAACACAUGCAAGUCGAACGAGGGUUUGGAAAGCUUGCUUUCCGAAACCUAGUGGCGGACGGGUGAGUAACGCGUGAGUAACCUGCCUUUCAGAGGGGAAUAACGUUCUGAAAAGAACGCUAAUACCGCAUAACGUACAGUUACCGCAUGGUAGCAGUACCAAAGGAGCAAUCCGCUGAAAGAUGGACUCGCGUCCGAUUAGCUAGUUGGUGGGGUAAAGGCCUACCAAGGCGACGAUCGGUAGCCGGACUGAGAGGUUGAACGGCCACAUUGGGACUGAGACACGGCCCAGACUCCUACGGGAGGCAGCAGUGGGGGAUAUUGCACAAUGGGGGAAACCCUGAUGCAGCAACGCCGCGUGUGGGAAGAAGGUUUUCGGAUUGUAAACCACUGUUCUUGGUGAAGAUAAUGACGGUAACCAAGGAGAAAG
RNAcentral lists this ribosomal RNA (451 nucleotides) under uncultured bacterium. Its description in RNAcentral is "bacterial SSU rRNA". It matches the Rfam family "Bacterial small subunit ribosomal RNA", at positions 28 to 490 of the family's 1533-position model. The record is from RNAcentral.